This 253-nucleotide ribosomal RNA is filed under the name uncultured bacterium. RNAcentral describes it as "partial 16S ribosomal RNA". It matches the Rfam family "Bacterial small subunit ribosomal RNA", at positions 524 to 776 of the family's 1533-position model. The record is from RNAcentral.
UACGUAGGGUGCGAGCGUUGUCCGGAAUUAUUGGGCGUAAAGAGCUUGUAGGCGGUUUGUCGCGUCUGCCGUGAAAAUCCGGGGCUCAACCCCGGACUUGCGGUGGGUACGGGCAGACUAGAGUGUGGUAGGGGAGACUGGAAUUCCUGGUGUAGCGGUGAAAUGCGCAGAUAUCAGGAGGAACACCGAUGGCAAAGGCAGGUCUCUGGGCCACUACUGACGCUGAGAAGCGAAAGCGUGGGGAGCGAACAGG